RNAcentral lists this transfer RNA (57 nucleotides) under Loxodonta africana (African savanna elephant). It matches the Rfam family "tRNA", at positions 8 to 63 of the family's 71-position model. From Rfam's summary of the family: Transfer RNA (tRNA) molecules are approximately 80 nucleotides in length. The record is from Rfam by way of RNAcentral. Lineage: Eukaryota; Metazoa; Chordata; Mammalia; Proboscidea; Elephantidae.
UGGCAUAGUGUUAAAGCAAUCGACUGCUAAUCGAAAGGUUGGUGGUUCAAAACCAUC